This 474-nucleotide ribosomal RNA is filed under the name uncultured organism. RNAcentral's name for it is "partial 16S ribosomal RNA". It matches the Rfam family "Bacterial small subunit ribosomal RNA", at positions 332 to 797 of the family's 1533-position model. The record is from RNAcentral.
UACACUCCUACGGGAGGCAGCAGUGGGGAAUUUUGGACAAUGGGCGAAAGCCUGAUCCAGCCAUGCCGCGUGCAGGAUGAAGGCCUUCGGGUUGUAAACUGCUUUUGUACGAAACGAAACGGCCUUUUCUAAUAAAGAGGGCUAAUGACGGUACCGUAAGAAUAAGCACCGGCUAACUACGUGCCAGCAGCCGCGGUAAUACGUAGGGUGCAAGCGUUAAUCGGAAUUACUGGGCGUAAAGCGUGCGCAGGCGGUUAUGUAAGACAGUUGUGAAAUCCCCGGGCUCAACCUGGGAACUGCAUCUGUGACUGCAUAGCUAGAGUACGGUAGAGGGGGAUGGAAUUCCGCGUGUAGCAGUGAAAUGCGUAGAUAUGCGGAGGAACACCGAUGGCGAAGGCAAUCCCCUGGACCUGUACUGACGCUCAUGCACGAAAGCGUGGGGAGCAAACAGGAUUAGAUACCCUAGUAGUCCCA